Puntigrus tetrazona (Sumatra barb) is the source of this 197-nucleotide long non-coding RNA. RefSeq lists it as uncharacterized. NCBI's taxonomy places the organism in Eukaryota, Metazoa, Chordata, Actinopteri, Cypriniformes, Cyprinidae. The record is from RefSeq and is a predicted model, not a curated record. The transcript is spliced from 3 exons.
CCUUUUACCCGUCGUGAAGACGAAAACGCCAUUUUAUCCACAUGCCAGCUGCAAGGAAUGAAGAUGCUCGUCAAAGUUAAGUUCAGAAGUGAACAGAAGUAUGUGAAAGUUUCUCACAGCGAUUUGAAACUUUCCGAUUUUCUGGAUGAAGCCUUAGUGAAGUUCGGCAUCAGUGUCUCUAGUAGGCCCGAGGCCCG